Molecule: long non-coding RNA, 324 nt
Organism: Bos taurus (domestic cattle)
Lineage: Eukaryota; Metazoa; Chordata; Mammalia; Artiodactyla; Bovidae
Source: Ensembl
GUAGACUUGGCACCCAAGGCCUCAUACUGACUGCUAGUUUUCCUGAUGCUUGUGUCACGUGUCCUUUCCAGACUGAGUGAAAGGACCUCUCUGGUGAUCCAGUGGUUAAGAAUAUGCCUUCCAAUGCAGGAGAUACGGUCCAGAUCUCUGAUCGGGAAACUAAGAUCCCACGUGCCUAGCAGCAACUAAGCCCAUACACCACAACUACUGAGCCCGUGUGCCGAAAGCCUGUGCUCCGCAACAAGAGAAGAGUAGCCCGCACGCGGCAACUAGAGAAGGCCUGCAAGCACAUAGCAGUGAAGACCCAGAGCAGCCAAAAAUGAC